ACAACUUUCAGCGACGGAUAUCUCGGCUCAGGCACCUAUGAAGGGCGCAGCGAAGCGCGACAGUCUUUGUGAAUUGCAGAUCUCCGUGAACCAAUGGCCCCCUGAACGCGCAUUGCACUCUUGGGACUUCCUGAGAGUAUGUUUGCUUCAGUGCUU
This 156-nucleotide ribosomal RNA is filed under the name Symbiodinium sp. clade D. RNAcentral describes it as "Durusdinium sp. clade D 5.8S ribosomal RNA". It matches the Rfam family "5.8S ribosomal RNA". Rfam says of the family: 5.8S ribosomal RNA (5.8S rRNA) is a component of the large subunit of the eukaryotic ribosome. It is transcribed by RNA polymerase I as part of the 45S precursor that also contains 18S and 28S rRNA. Lineage: Eukaryota; Dinophyceae; Suessiales; Symbiodiniaceae. The record is from RNAcentral.